Molecule: ribosomal RNA, 216 nt
Filed under: Glomeromycotina sp.
Lineage: Eukaryota; Fungi; Glomeromycota
Description: partial small subunit ribosomal RNA
Rfam family: Eukaryotic small subunit ribosomal RNA (bases 40-216)
Source: RNAcentral
GGGUCAGUAGGUUGGUCGUGCCACCGGUACGUACUGGUCUCACUGAUUCCUCCUUCCUGAAGAACCGUAAUGCCAUUAAUUUGGUGUUGCGGGGAAACAGGACUGUUACUUUGAAAAAAUUAGAGUGUUUAAAGCAAGCUAACGCUUGAAUACAUUAGCAUGGCAUAAUGAAGUAGGACGAUCGAUCCUAUUUUGUUGGUUUCUGGGAUUGACGUA